This 187-nucleotide long non-coding RNA is filed under the name Bos indicus x Bos taurus (hybrid cattle). RNAcentral describes it as "lncRNA (ENSBIXG00000015344.1)". The record is from RNAcentral. Lineage: Eukaryota; Metazoa; Chordata; Mammalia; Artiodactyla; Bovidae.
UCGCCUGCAGAAGGGCACUGGCGUGCAGUCCAGCGUCGGUGCUAUUGGAUACCCCAGAGCCAGGCCAACAGGGAACGGGUCUGAGGCCACUGGCAUGGCUGGCAUCUUGGUCUAAUAAUAAUCAGGUCUUCCUCCAUUCUUGAGAAGAAACUUUUCAUCAGCAGUAGUCCAUUUCCAGAAAUAUACU